GGAGAAUCAACAAAUGGUAUUCUCCACAAAUGGAAUCAACCCCUAGAAGUUCCUGAGAAAUCCCUGUUGAGUGGGAAAGGACCUAGAGCCAAGGAGACGAGGUUGGAGGGUCUGCUUACAGAACAAGGCACAGCAAGGAGGCAAGACACAAGCAAGAAAUGUGCUUGAUGUUACCCACUGCAGUCCUUCUUCCACUCUGGAGGAUUCUGAAGACUCAGAAGAGGGACAGGCAAUGGAUUCAGUCUAAACCCCAGGACCAGGACACUGCCUCAGCUUCGAAGCCUGGAUGCAAUGCUCUAGGGUAUAACCACUGCCCAGAAGCACAGCUAGUACAAGCUGCAGCCUCAAUCCAGGCAAGGAGCCAACUCCAACAGGUCAGGCUCCAAGGGAUGAAGACUGAAAACAUGAAUGUGUUGUGCCACUAACUCUAGCGUUUGCUUUUCCUUGUGUUUUUGCAUGCAUUGUAGACCUUGGCAUCAGCAUUUGGCUAGCUUUAAGACAGAAACUGAGAAGCCUUUUGUGUUUUAUGUGUCAACUUGACUGGGUCACAGCAUGCCCAAAUAUUUGGUUAAACACGAUUUCUAGGUGCAUCUGUGAGGAUUUUCUGGACGAGACUAAUAUUUGAAUUUGAAUCAGUGGACUAAGUAAGGCAGACUGCCCUCCCCAGUGUGGGUGGCCCUCAUCCUUCCCUCUGCCUGACACUCUUCUAGCUGGAACAUUUGUCUUCUCCUACCUUCGGACUCAGACUAUGACUGGAAUUGAUAUCAUUGACUCUCCUAGUUCUUCAGACUCAGAUUGCUUUCCCGGGACUUCUCAGCUUCCAAAUCACAUGAACCAAUUCAUUAUAGGAAAUUUUUUAAUAUAUCCUAUUAAUUCUGUUUCUCUGGAGAAACCUGAUUAAUACAGAUUUAUUUUCCUACACUCCAAUAACUCUCCACUACUCCCUCCCUCAACCCCUGGUAACUAUCCUACUUUCUGUCUCUAUAAAUUUGACUAUUCUCAGUACCUCAUAUAAGUGGAAUCAUGCAA
Gorilla gorilla gorilla (western lowland gorilla) is the source of this 1029-nucleotide long non-coding RNA. RefSeq lists it as uncharacterized. NCBI's taxonomy places the organism in Eukaryota, Metazoa, Chordata, Mammalia, Primates, Hominidae. The record is from RefSeq and is a predicted model, not a curated record. The transcript is spliced from 2 exons.